This 405-nucleotide ribosomal RNA is filed under the name uncultured bacterium. RNAcentral describes it as "bacterial SSU rRNA". It matches the Rfam family "Bacterial small subunit ribosomal RNA", at positions 354 to 776 of the family's 1533-position model. The record is from RNAcentral.
GUGGGGAAUAUUGGACAAUGGGCGAAAGCCUGAUCCAGCAAUGCCGCGUGUGUGAAGAAGGCCUUCGGGUUGUAAAGCACUUUCACUCGCGAAGAUGAUGACGGUAGCGAGAGAAGAAGCCCCGGCUAACUCCGUGCCAGCAGCCGCGGUAAUACGGAGGGGGCUAGCGUUGUUCGGAAUUACUGGGCGUAAAGGGCGUGUAGGCGGCUUCAACAGUCAGGCGUGAAAGCCCCGGGCUUAACCUGGGAAUGGCGCUUGAUACUGCGAGGCUAGAGUUCGGGAGAGGAGAGUGGAAUUCCCAGUGUAGAGGUGAAAUUCGUAGAUAUUGGGAAGAACACCAGUGGCGAAGGCGGCUCUCUGGACCGAUACUGACGCUAAGGCGCGAAAGCGUGGGGAGCAAACAGG